Molecule: long non-coding RNA, 322 nt
Organism: Dicentrarchus labrax (European seabass)
Lineage: Eukaryota; Metazoa; Chordata; Actinopteri; Moronidae
Exons: 3
Source: RefSeq, a predicted model, not a curated record
GGGGAAGUGUCUUCGUAAUGUGCAUGCUGUUCCACGGAAACUCAUUGUUUUCUUCAGGAUUAAAGCAGUUGGAGAUUUGAUUGUUUGAAGAUAAUAUGAUGGUGGGUCGUGCGGUAAUCCCAGCUGCCCAUUGGCCUGACCCCUUGCACUUACACCCACCUCCUCCCAAACCAACACCACCCCCCCAACCCGAAAUCUUAACGAACCCGCUGAGCUGCACGACCAAAGAGCUGCUUUAAACUGGGGCCCUAAUCUAAUCUAAAGUCAUCUGAGCUAAUCCGCAGCAGCAGCGGUGGCGGUGGCGGUGGCCGCGGCGGUCGAG